GGGGUUGUAGCUCAGUGGUAGAGUACUUGCCUAGCAUGCAUGAGGCACUGGGUUUGAUCCUCAGCACCA
RNAcentral lists this transfer RNA (69 nucleotides) under Ictidomys tridecemlineatus (thirteen-lined ground squirrel). RNAcentral's name for it is "Spermophilus tridecemlineatus (thirteen-lined ground squirrel) tRNA". It matches the Rfam family "tRNA". From Rfam's summary of the family: Transfer RNA (tRNA) molecules are approximately 80 nucleotides in length. The record is from Rfam by way of RNAcentral. Lineage: Eukaryota; Metazoa; Chordata; Mammalia; Rodentia; Sciuridae.